Cercocebus atys (sooty mangabey) is the source of this 3932-nucleotide long non-coding RNA. RefSeq lists it as uncharacterized. The transcript has 3 exons. NCBI's taxonomy places the organism in Eukaryota, Metazoa, Chordata, Mammalia, Primates, Cercopithecidae. The record is from RefSeq and is a predicted model, not a curated record.
CUCCUGGGUUUAAGUGAUUUUUCUGCCUCAGCCUCCCAAGAACUAACCUGUCAGGUACUGAGAGGCUUUGAAGAUGGCUCUUCAGGUUGGGGACACGCCUUUGUUAAGGGGCAAGACUGCUGCCUGGAGUUGAUUCACAUACUCAGAGCUCAUCUUACUUGAUUGCUGUGAUGAAGCAAGCUGCCAUAUUGUGAGCCACCCUAUGAUAAGGUGCACGUGGCAAGGAACCUGAGAGUGACCCCCAGCCAACAGCCAGCAAGACUGAAUAUGCCAACAGCCACAUGAGUCAGCGUGAAAGCAGAUCCUUCCCCAGCCAAGCCUUGAGAUGACUGUAGCCCCAGCUCACACUCUGCUGGCUGUGAGACCCUGAAAUAGAAACUCAGCUAAGUUGUGCCCAGAUUCCUAACCACAGGACUGUGAAAUAAAAUGUUGUUUUAAGCCACUGUUUUUGAGGUAAUUUGUUAUGUAGCAAACAUAUAACCAAUAGAGACAAGCGUGGAGGUUAUGCACCUUGGCAAUAUGAACUUCUAACCUACCAAGGCCACUGUGGCCCUAGCACUGCUGAAUUCCCAACCUACCAACAGCAGAGAUCAACACUGAGCUCCCACUGUGAACUAUUUCCUGAUGGCAGGCUGAUUACUUUGGACCCCUUCUGUCUAGCACAGGCCUUAGGGUCACAGAGAUUUGGUGAAAAUCCCAGCUCUGCCAGGCUGAUACGCCUAGGUGAGGCCUGUUUUCCUAGGGGUGUUUCCUGUGUCUGUUGGGGACUUUGUGAAAUAUCUCAAAUGGAGCUGAGCACCCAGGUGGAGGUUCACAAGGGGCUGUUCCCCUCCCUUUCAUGUGAGUGCCCCAGGGACAAGAACCCUGUUCCUCUGCUUCCUAACUCCUCUUCUCCCAUCACAAUUUCAGGUCUUCUGGGAAGCAUGGCUAGUUAGCGUCUGCCCCUUCAAGGACCCACUGACCAUGUACCUCAGACCCCGGGCGCCACUCCCAAGGGUGGUAUCCUGUACCACUGGACUCUGCAACAGAAAGGAAACAGAGUUCAUAUGCACAGUGUGAGGCUCCAACUGAUGCUCCUACCUCCUUCUUUCUAAAACUAGACUGCGGGCCCUUGGCCUGGAAGUGGAAACAGACUGAGGUCUAGGCCUUGCCUUCCCUCCAGAAGCUCCAGAGCUUGGGGGUGGGAGGAGAGACAGACCUAUUAAUCUUAGUGUUUCAGACACCAUGUAAGGCACAGGUGGAGGCACUAAGGAGAAGGGGAAGAAGGGUUCAGUUGGGCCUGAAGGAAGAGUUUGGGUAAAGUCCUUAAUAGAAGUGAUGUCUCUUCCCAUCCCCUUGUCACCUGCAGAUUCAGGAGCCAUCCUGAGGGAUAUGGCAACAUUUGGGAGGACUCGGCAGCUACGUGUUAUAAUAGAAAAUGACUUUGAGGUGAGAAGAUACCCACUGCUUCCCUGACCUCCUUCUCCCCAGCUCCUUAUCUGAGGUGAAGGGGGUCCCCUGAGCCAGUCCCCCUCCCUUUCUAGGGGAGUGUCUGGGAAAGAGGGCAGAUUUGGAACCAGAGAAAGCUCUCUGGAAGGGGUUAGAUUUGAUCUGGGUCUUGCAGGAUGGCGGCUAGGGCCUCUCCUGCGGAGUUCAUGGAAUGCGUGUCUGCUGUGAAGGAGACAGUGUGUGAGGGAUGCGACAGGGAUGUGCCAACAUGGUAAAGGUGGUCUGAAAACUGGUGAAGGAUGGGCCUAUACCUGGGAGGCCCCCAGCCAAGCAGUUCUCUAACCUGGGAGUUGCUUCAGGUUGUAGGCACCAUCUCUUCCUCUCCUGUCUGGCCACUUCCUGUGGCUGACUGCCUUGGGAGUGGUAAAGUGCUGAGGCUGAGCCCUUUCCUGCCCAUCCCAGCUCUCACACUCACCUCUCCUGUCAGCUCCUCCAACCCCCUUUUCAUGAUCAAUUCCAGCCAAAAGGUCAGCUUUUUCCCCUGGACUGAGACCUGGAGUCAAACUGGACCCGACAGGGUUGUCCACGGACUCCCAUCUCUCUCCUUACUUAUAUAGCCUAGGGUCCCAACUGGGAGACUAGAUGAAAGCAGGGCUGAGCCAGACCCUCCCACCAAUCAAAGCUGCCAGAAGAGGGCAGGCUUUCUUAUUUACCACUAGGUUCCUAUCAACUGCAAAUAUUGGGAAGGGGGAAUGAAACCCAUGAACGUUCAAAUGAGAAAGCAAAAUAAGAGUGGCAGUGUGCUAAGCUCCUGGGCUAGGAAUCAGGACCCAGCCUUUAGCCUUCAGCCUCCUCACAGCCCCUUGAGAGGAGGGAAAGCCCUUGAGGCAGGCAUGAUGGGAAGCUGACUGGCUUAGCAGGGCUUCCAUGCUCUUGCUUCCUCCUUUGUAUCCUCAUAUCACGGGGCAGACUCCAAACACACAACACUCAAGACCACAAAGAAUGGUUCUUAGCCUUUGGAGGGUCAAGGAUCCCUUUAUAAAUCUGAUACAAGCUGGUUAGUCUUCUUGUCAGAAAAACACAUGCAUGCAAACACCCACAAAAACAUGUAAACAAUCUGUUGAUGGUCCCUGAUUUAGUCCAGCACCCUCAUCUUAAAGACUUUGGGACUCAGAAGGGAGAUCUUUCCAACCACUAUGGGACCAUUAAUGGGCUUGAAACCACUAUGUUAAGUGAAAGAAGCUAGACACAAAGGAUCACAUAUUAUACGAUUCCAUUUAUGUAAAAUGUCCCGAAUAGGCAAAUGGGAUGAGGGGUAAAGGAUGCCUAAGGGAUAUGGAGUUUCUUUCUGCAGUGAUGAAAAUGUUCUAAAAUUUUUUUUUUUUUUGGCAAUGAUGGCUGCACAACUCUGAAUAUACUAAAAGCUAUUUAAUUGUAUACUUUUAAGUGGGUGAACUGUAUGGUAUGUACAUUGUAUCUCAAUAAGCUGUCUUUAAAAAGUGAACUCAGGGGUUGCAAAUGACCACACAUCUGAGCUUUAGUCCCCAUUCAUCAGGGGCAUAACCUGUGGAGAAAAAUCAGGGAAUUAUGCAGUAUAUGGGUUAGACAGGAAAACAUUCUAGAAAGAACGAGAUUCUAUGUAUAAUCUUAAGGGCAAUAAAGCAUCAUGGAAGGUUUUAAGCAGUAUAUAAUCAGAUCUACACUUUAGAAAUCCCCCAAAUCACUGAAUUGUACAUUUCAAACAAGUGAAUUUUAUGGUAUGUAAAUUAUAUCUCAAUAAAGCCAUUGAAAAAAAAAUCCCUUUGGGAGCUUGAGGAGGAUAAACUGGAGGGCAUCAACUGGGGGAGGCUGUGGUGUAGGAGUCUGGGUGAGCGGGCCAAGCCCAUCUGUUUGGACUUGAGGGAAAAUGGCUUGGGGUUAGUCAGGGGAGGAUCAGAACGUCUUGCCCAAGGUUAAGAAGCUGGUGGAACUUGAUUUCAGAACCCAGCGCUCCCUGGCUUCAGCCCUAGUGCUCCCGCCAGCACUACAGCUGCUCCACUGACUGGUGAUGGAAGCACUGUCCUCCCCGUCUAAGAGAAAUGCACUUCAGAAACAUGUUUCCAAAAAAUGUUUCUAAGGGUUUUAUUUCUAACAAGAGGAAAAUAAUAAAAUAAAAUUAAAAUAGGCUUCAGUUGGAACCAAGUUUCUUGUUUUGCUUUUUUUUUCCUUUUGAACAAAUUAAUUACACACCAACAAUCUUUUUUUAUUACAACAUGAACCCAGGAGGAGGAAAGGAGACAGGGGAGGACAGGGAGGGAGGAUUGAGGUGGUUGUGAGGACAAGCACCAAAAGCUUUCUUCAGAUCACAGGGAGCCCUGUUCAGCUCCCCAGCCAAAUUCCUUUAAAAUAAAAAACUGUGAGCACGGCUAUGUGAAGUUUCCUCCUCCUGGGUGGAACAGUCAGGGGAAGGGAGAGGGAGAAGUGGGUAGGAAGGAAGGAAAAGAGGGGAGGAGAGUGGGGGCAGG